RNAcentral lists this ribosomal RNA (433 nucleotides) under uncultured bacterium. RNAcentral describes it as "partial 16S ribosomal RNA". It matches the Rfam family "Bacterial small subunit ribosomal RNA", at positions 29 to 507 of the family's 1533-position model. The record is from RNAcentral.
AACGAACGCUGGCGGCAUGCCUAACACAUGCAAGUCGAACGAGACCUUCGGGUCUAGUGGCGCACGGGUGCGUAACGCGUGGGAACCUGCCCUUAGGUUCGGAAUAACUCCCCGAAAGGGGUGCUAAUACCGGAUAAUGUCUUCGGACCAAAGAUUUAUCGCCUUUGGAUGGGCCCGCGUUGGAUUAGCUAGUUGGUAGGGUAAAAGCCUACCAAGGCGACGAUCCAUAGCUGGUCUGAGAGGAUGGUCAGCCACACUGGGACUGAGACACGGCCCAGACUCCUACGGGAGGCAGCAGUGGGGAAUAUUGGACAAUGGGCGGAAGCCUGAUCCAGCAAUGCCGCGUGAGUGAUGAAGGCCUUAGAGUUGUAAAGCUCUUUUACCCGGGAUGAUAAUGACAGUACCGGGAGAAUAAGCGCCGGCUAACUCCGUG